AUGCUAGGGGCAACGCCUGGUUAUGGUUCGGUGGGGCGCUCUCAGGGACUCCUUCAUGCUUGGUAUAUGGAUCCUCAUGAUUACCAGCUCUCCGUGUGGGUGCUCAAGGAUUAUGCUACUGAAGAGUGGACCCUAAAGCAUACCGUCGACGUUCCAAAACUCUUUGAAGAAACGGAAUCCGACCAACAAGAGGAUUAUCGUCGCCAAGAGGAUGGCUCCUGUAAGUAUCAGAUGUUUGCAAUUCAUCCGGAAUACAACGUGAUUUUCAUUACUGACUGGAAGAUGGUGAGUCUGUCGUACAACAUGGACAGCGGGAAAGUGCAUCCCAUGUGCACUUCUGGAGAUUUCUUUGGUGCUCUACCUUUUAUUCCUUGCUUUGCGGAUUUGGCUCACGGAUGA
Molecule: ribosomal RNA, 399 nt
Filed under: Triticum aestivum (bread wheat)
Lineage: Eukaryota; Viridiplantae; Streptophyta; Magnoliopsida; Poales; Poaceae
Description: partial small subunit ribosomal RNA
Source: RNAcentral